Molecule: unclassified non-coding RNA, 301 nt
Organism: Callithrix jacchus (white-tufted-ear marmoset)
Lineage: Eukaryota; Metazoa; Chordata; Mammalia; Primates; Cebidae
Rfam family: Metazoan signal recognition particle RNA
About the family: The signal recognition particle (SRP) is a universally conserved ribonucleoprotein.
Source: Ensembl
GCUGGAGAAAUCCAAGAAUUGCCUGUGGUCCCAGCUACUCGGGAGGCUGAGGCUGGAGGAUCGCUUGAGCCCAGGAGUUCUGGGCUGUAGUGAGCUAUGCGGAUCGGGUGUCUGCACUAAGUUCAGCACCAAUAUGGUGACCUCCCAGGAGCAGGGGACCACCAGGUUGCCUAAGGAGGGGUGAACCGGCCCAGGUCAGAAACGGAGCAGGUCAAAACUCCCAUGCUGAUCAGUAGUGGGAUUGUGCCUGUGAAUAGCCACUGCACUCCAGCCUGGGCAACAUAGCGAGACCCUGUCUCAA